Molecule: small nuclear RNA, 101 nt
Organism: Cavia aperea (Brazilian guinea pig)
Lineage: Eukaryota; Metazoa; Chordata; Mammalia; Rodentia; Caviidae
Source: Ensembl
GUUUCAGCAAAACAUAUACUGAAACUGAAACAAUACAGAGAACAUUAGCAUGACCCUUGCACAAGGAUGACAUGCAAAUUCGUGAAGCGCUCCAUAUUUAA